RNAcentral lists this ribosomal RNA (400 nucleotides) under uncultured bacterium. RNAcentral describes it as "bacterial SSU rRNA". It matches the Rfam family "Bacterial small subunit ribosomal RNA", at positions 355 to 747 of the family's 1533-position model. The record is from RNAcentral.
UGGGGAAUAUUGUGCAAUGGGCGAAAGCCUGACACAGCAACGCCGCGUGAAGGAUGAAGGUCUUUGGAUUGUAAACUUCUGUUAAAUGGAAAGAAAGAGGUGUAGUUAAUAGCUACGCAAGAUGACGGUACCAUUAAAGAAAGUCCCGGCUAAUCUCGUGCCAGCAGCCGCGGUAAUACGAGAGGGACAAGCAUUAUUCGGAGUUACUGGGCGUAAAGGGUGCGUAGGUGGCUUAUUAAGUCACUCGUUAAAGCUCACGGCCCAACCGUGAAAUCGCGAGUGAUACUGAUAGGCUAGAGGGCAGGAGAGAGGAGUGGAAUCCUCGGAGUAGCGGUUAAAUGCGUGGAUCUCGAGAGGAACACCGAUGGCGAAGGCAGCUCCUUGGUCUGUUUCUGACACU